UGUCAAGUCAGUAUGUCCCUUAUAUCCAGGGCUACACACGUGUUACAAUGGUUAGUACAAAGGGUUGCAAAACCGUAAGGUGGAGCCAAUCCCAAAAAACUAACCCCAGUUCGGAUUGGAGUCUGCAACUCGACUCCAUAAAGCAGGAAUCGCUAGUAAUCGUGGAUCAGAACGCUACGGUGAAUACGUUCCCGGGUCUU
This 200-nucleotide ribosomal RNA is filed under the name uncultured prokaryote. RNAcentral's name for it is "partial 16S ribosomal RNA". It matches the Rfam family "Bacterial small subunit ribosomal RNA", at positions 1183 to 1382 of the family's 1533-position model. The record is from RNAcentral.